AAGGAGAUGAGAUGGGCCGUGACGGUCUGCUGCACUUCUGUGACUGCAAAAAUCUCUUUGCUCACCAGAAAUGUCUUUUAACUUGGAUACAAAAGAGUCUUCAUAAUGAAAAUGUUCCAACUUGCAAAGUAUGUACAGCUGAGUAUCAACUUGAGAAAAAGUCACCCUGGAGACUUCUGGCGACACAGUGGCAUCAGUGGGUCAUCUUCUGCACAGUCCUGGGUCUCAUGAUCAGCACUCCAUUCCUGGUGUACCAGUUGAUCAUUGCAUUUAAGGAUCCUCCCCCAGGUCUACUUUUCAACAUAGCAGCCAUCUGUUUUGGAGCACUCACAGAGAUGCUUCUGACCAAGUGAGUGUGGAAAUAGAGUCUGUGUUUC
Molecule: long non-coding RNA, 377 nt
Filed under: Notechis scutatus (mainland tiger snake)
Lineage: Eukaryota; Metazoa; Chordata; Lepidosauria; Squamata; Elapidae
Description: lncRNA (ENSNSUG00000020001.1)
Source: RNAcentral